AGGACGAACGCUGGCGGCGUGCUUAACACAUGCAAGUCGAGCGAGGCUCUCCCUUCGGGGGGAUGCCCUAGCGGCGAACGGGUGAGUAACACGUGGGCAACCUGCCCCUAGCUCUGGGAUAACUCCGGGAAACCGGGGCUAAUACCGGAUAUGACCUCGAGAAGCAUUUCUCUUGGUGGAAAGUUUUUCGGCUAGGGAUGGGCCCGCGGCCUAUCAGCUUGUUGGUGGGUAACGGCCUACCAAGGCGACGAC
Molecule: ribosomal RNA, 252 nt
Filed under: uncultured bacterium
Lineage: Bacteria
Description: partial small subunit ribosomal RNA
Rfam family: Bacterial small subunit ribosomal RNA
Source: RNAcentral